AUCCAGAUGACGAGUUCCAAAUAGGACGAAACGCGUGUCCUGGAU
RNAcentral lists this non-coding RNA (45 nucleotides) under Schistosoma mattheei. The record is from RNAcentral. Lineage: Eukaryota; Metazoa; Platyhelminthes; Trematoda; Strigeidida; Schistosomatidae.